Molecule: ribosomal RNA, 742 nt
Filed under: uncultured bacterium
Lineage: Bacteria
Description: partial 16S ribosomal RNA
Source: RNAcentral
CAGAUAGGCGCCUUCGCCACUGGUGUUCCACCCGAUCUCUACGAAUUUCACCUCUACACCGGGUAUUCCCCUAUCCUCUCCGACACUCAAGUCCCCCAGUUUCCUCUGCACGUUACAGGCUAAGCCCGUAGAUUUCACAGAAGACUUAAAGAACAGCCUACACUCCCUUUACGCCCAAUAAUUCCGAACAACGCUUGCACCCUCUGUAUUACCGCGGCUGCUGGCACAGAGUUAGCCGGUGCUUCCUUUGAGGGUACCGUCACCUCCAGCUACUAUUAGCAACUGAAAGCAUCUUCCCCUCCGACAGGGCUUUACGAUCCGAAGACCUUCAUCACCCACGCGGCGUUGCUGCGUCAGGAUUUCUCCCAUUGCGCAAGAUUCCCCACUGCUGCCUCCCGUAGGAGUCUGGACCGUGUCUCAGUUCCAGUGUGGCUGAUCAUCCUCUCAGACCAGCUACCCGUCUUAGCCUUGGUGGGCCGUUACCCCGCCAACUAGCUGAUGGGCCGCAACCCACUCCCAAAGCGAUUGGUUCCGAAGAAUCCCAACCCUUUUCCCUCAAACCCAAAUCCGUGGGCUUACCAAGUAUUAGCCAUCCUUUCGAACGGUUAUCCUUGUCUUCGGGACAUGUCAGUUACGUGUUACUCACCCGUGCGCCACUCUACUCAGCAUUACUGCUUUUCGCGUUCGACUUGCAUGUGUUAGGCACGCCGCCAGCGUUCGUUCUGAGCCAGGAUCAAACUCU